This 434-nucleotide ribosomal RNA is filed under the name uncultured Clostridium sp. Its description in RNAcentral is "partial 16S ribosomal RNA". It matches the Rfam family "Bacterial small subunit ribosomal RNA", at positions 341 to 792 of the family's 1533-position model. The record is from RNAcentral. Lineage: Bacteria; Bacillati; Bacillota; Clostridia; Eubacteriales; Clostridiaceae.
ACGGGAGGCAGCAGUGGGGAAUAUUGCACAAUGGGCGAAAGCCUGAUGCAGCGACGCCGCGUGAGUGAAGAAGUUAUUCGUAAUGUAAAGCUCUAUCAGCAGGGAAGAAAAUGACGGUACCUGACUAAGAAGCCCCGGCUAACUACGUGCCAGCAGCCGCGGUAGUACGUAGGGGGCAAGCGUUAUCCGGAUUUACUGGGUGUAAAGGGAGCGUAGACGGCAAAGCAAGUCUGAAGUGAAAUCCCGGGGCUCAACCCUGGAACUGCUUUGGAAACUGUUUAGCUAGAGUGCAGGAGAGGUAAGUGGAAUUCCUAGUGUAGCGGUGAAAUGCGUAGAUAUUAGGAGGAACACCAGUGGCGAAGGCGGCUUACUGGACUGUAACUGACGUUGAGGCUCGAAAGCGUGGGGAGCAAACAGGAUUAGAUACCCUGGUA